AUUAGACGAAUCAUCUGGAAAGAUGAAUCAAAGAAGGUAAUAAUCCUGUAGUCGAAAAUGUUGUCUCUCUUGAGUGGAUCCUGAGUACGACGGAGCACGUGAAAUUCCGUCGGAAUCUGGGAGGACCAUCUCCUAAGGCUAAAUACUCUCUAGUGACCGAUAGUGAACCAGUACCGUGAGGGAAAGGUGAAAAGCACCCCGGAAGGGGAGUGAAAUAGAACCUGAAACCGUGUGCUUACAAGUAGUCAGAGCCCGUUAAUGGGUGAUGGCGUGCCUUUUGUAGAAUGAACCGGCGAGUUACGAUUUGAUGCAAGGUUAAGCAGUAAAUGUGGAGCCGUAGCGAAAGCGAGUCUGAAUAGGGCGUUUAGUAUUUGGUCGUAGACCCGAAACCAGGUGAUCUACCCUUGGUCAGGUUGAAGUUCAGGUAACACUGAAUGGAGGACCGAACCGACUUACGUUGAAAAGUGAGCGGAUGAACUGAGGGUAGCGGAGAAAUUCCAAUCGAACCUGGAGAUAGCUGGUUCUCUCCGAAAUAGCUUUAGGGCUAGCCUCAAGUGAUGAUUAUUGGAGGUAGAGCACUGUUUGGACGAGGGGCCCCUCUCGGGUUACCGAAUUCAGACAAACUCCGAAUGCCAAUUAAUUUAACUUGGGAGUCAGAACAUGGGUGAUAAGGUCCGUGUUCGAAAGGGAAACAGCCCAGACCACCAGCUAAGGUCCCAAAAUAUAUGUUAAGUGGAAAAGGAUGUGGCGUUGCCCAGACAACUAGGAUGUUGGCUUAGAAGCAGCCAUCAUUUAAAGAGUGCGUAAUAGCUCACUAGUCGAGUGACACUGCGCCGAAAAUGUACCGGGGCUAAACAUAUUACCGAAGCUGUGGAUUGUCCUUUGGACAAUGGUAGGAGAGCGUUCUAAGGGCGUUGAAGCAUGAUCGUAAGGACAUGUGGAGCGCUUAGAAGUGAGAAUGCCGGUGUGAGUAGCGAAAGACGGGUGAGAAUCCCGUCCACCGAUUGACUAAGGUUUCCAGAGGAAGGCUCGUCCGCUCUGGGUUAGUCGGGUCCUAAGCUGAGGCCGACAGGCGUAGGCGAUGGAUAACAGGUUGAUAUUCCUGUACCACCUA
This 1114-nucleotide ribosomal RNA is filed under the name Staphylococcus aureus. RNAcentral's name for it is "partial 23S ribosomal RNA". It matches the Rfam family "Bacterial large subunit ribosomal RNA", at positions 328 to 1450 of the family's 2925-position model. Lineage: Bacteria; Bacillati; Bacillota; Bacilli; Caryophanales; Staphylococcaceae. The record is from RNAcentral.